RNAcentral lists this transfer RNA (38 nucleotides) under Pelagomonas calceolata. RNAcentral describes it as "partial tRNA". The record is from RNAcentral. Lineage: Eukaryota; Pelagophyceae; Pelagomonadales; Pelagomonadaceae.
AGUGUGGCCGAGUGGUUAAGACGGUAGACUUGAAAUCU